This is a non-coding RNA of Cynocephalus volans (Philippine flying lemur), 492 nucleotides long. The record is from the annotation of a RefSeq genome assembly. Lineage: Eukaryota; Metazoa; Chordata; Mammalia; Dermoptera; Cynocephalidae.
UCCAACUCGGUGAUCAGGACUGAACACAGACGAGUCACCAUGGAGUUUGGACUGAAAUGCGUUUUCCUUCUUGCUGUAUUAAAAGGUGUCCAGUGUGAGGUGCAGCUGGUGGAGUCCGGGGGAGGCUUGGUGAAGCCUGGAGGGUCUCUGAGACUCACCUGUGUCGCCUCUGGAUUCACCUUUGAUGACUAUGCCAUGCACUGGGUCCGCCAGGCUCCAGGGAAGGGGCUGGAGUGGGUCUCAGCCAUUAGCGAGAGUGGUGGUAGCACAUACUACGCAGACUCCGUGAAGGGCCGAUUCACCAUCUCCAGGGAAAACGCCAAGAACACACUGUAUCUGCAAACUGAAAAUGCGAGAGCUGAGGACACGGCCACGUAUUACUGUGCGAGAGACACAGUGAGGGGACGUCAGUGGGAGCCCAGACAAGAACCUCCCUACUGGGACACACGGGACCAGCAGGGGGCGCUCAGGACCCACCAAGUUCAAGGCUGA